GAUGAACGCUGGCGGUAUGCCUAACACAUGCAAGUCGUACGAGAGUUUUUAACUCAAGUGGCGGACGGGUGAGUAACACGUGAGAAUUUGCCUUUAGGAGGGGGACAACAACUGGAAACGGUUGCUAAUACCCCAUAUGCUUUCGAGUGAAAUGAAUUUAUUCGCCUAAAGAGAAGCUCGCGGCUGAUUAGCUUGUUGGUGGGGUAAGAGCCUACCAAGGCGACGAUCAGUAUCUGGUUUGAGAGGACGAUCAGACACACCGGAACUGAGACACGGUCCAGACUCCUACGGGAGGCAGCAGUGGGGAAUUUUCCGCAAUGGGCGAAAGCCUGACGGAGCAAUACCGCGUGAAGGAAGACGGCCUAUGGGUUGUAAACUUCUUUUUUCAGGGAGGAAUUCAAUGACGUGUACCUGAAGAAUAAGCAUCGGCUAACUCCGUGCCAGCAGCCGCGGUAAGACGGAGGAUGCAAGUGUUAUCCGGAAUCACUGGGCGUAAAGCGUCUGUAGGUUGUUAAACAAGUCAACUGUUAAAUCUUGAGGCUCAACUUCAAAAUCGCAGUCGAAACUGUUUGACUAGAGUAUAGUAGGGGUAAAGGGAAUUUCCAGUGGAGCGGUGAAAUGCGUAGAUAUUGGAAAGAACACCGAUGGCGAAGGCACUUUACUGGGCUAUUACUGACACUCAGAGACGAAAGCUAGGGUAGCAAAUGGGAUUAGAUACCCCAGUAGUCCUAGCCGUAAACAAUGGAUACUAGAUGUUGAACAGAUCGACCUGUGCAGUAUCAAAGCUAACGCGUUAAGUAUCCCGCCUGGGAAGUAUGCUCGCAAGGGUGAAACUCAAAGGAAUUGACGGGGGCCCGCACAAGCGGUGGAGCAUGUGGUUUAAUUCGAUGCAACGCGAAGAACCUUACCAGGGUUUGACAUGAUACGAAUUUUUGUGAAAGCAGAAAGUGCCGU
RNAcentral lists this ribosomal RNA (954 nucleotides) under uncultured protist. RNAcentral's name for it is "bacterial SSU rRNA". It matches the Rfam family "Bacterial small subunit ribosomal RNA", at positions 28 to 1020 of the family's 1533-position model. The record is from RNAcentral.